Molecule: ribosomal RNA, 553 nt
Filed under: uncultured Nitrososphaerota archaeon
Lineage: Archaea; Thermoproteati; Nitrososphaerota
Description: bacterial SSU rRNA
Rfam family: Archaeal small subunit ribosomal RNA
Source: RNAcentral
ACGGGGUGCAGCAGGCGCGAAACCUUUGCAAUGUGCGAAAGCACGACAAGGUUAAUCCGAGUGUCUCCUGCUAAAGGAGUCUUUUGUCAGUUGUAGAAUCACUGAUGAAUAAGGGGGGGGCAAGUUCUGGUGUCAGCCGCCGCGGUAAAACCAGCACCUCGAGUGGUCAGGAGGUUUAUUGGGCCUAAAGCAUCCGUAGCCGGUUGCAUAAGUUUUCGGUUAAAUCUAUGCGCUCGACGUAUAGGCCGCCGAAAAUACUGUGCAGCUAGGGAGUGGGAGAGGUACACGGUACUCAAUAGGAAGGGGUAAAAUCCUUUGAUCUAUUGAUGACCACCUGUGGCGAAGGCGGUGUACCAGAACACGUUCGACGGUGAGGGAUGAAAGCUGGGGGAGCAAACCGGAUUAGAUACCCGGGUAGUCCCAGCUGUAAACGAUGCAGACUCGGUGAUGCAUUGGCUUGUGGCCAAUGCAGUGCCGCAGGGAAGCCGUUAAGUCUGCCGCCUGGGAAGUACGUACGCAAGUAUGAAACUUAAAGGAAUUGGCGGGGGAGCAC